UUUUAAUGCUCCCAAAGAUCAUCCUAGGAAAACCUCAUCUCCUAGGAAAUUCCUUUGAGGUCCCAUGUGAAACACACACAAGUCUUCCUGUGCACACACUGGGUGCUGGGACUGAGUAGGCAACCAGAAGCAGCAACUAGGGUGAGAGAUCACUUCAUGUCAGGAGAAGCUUGCCUUUGAUUUGACCCCAGCUACAAGUCACAGGAGUUGAGUUGAAAAGUCUCCCUUUCUGUAGAAGCCUGGCCUGGGCACCAAUCUCCUCUGUUGUGGGUCCCACUGUCUCUGGGACCAGAGACAUUCUGAGCACAGGCCCUAGGAAGAGUUACUCCUCCAGACCCCAGACUUGUGAUCAGGUUCCAUGGAAACCAGCACACCAGGAGGUAAACAUGGUCAGCCAGUCAUGACCAGGUGCAUGAUAAUCAGGUUCAGAAAUCAUUGAGAAUUUGAAAAUCACUACAGCAGAGCAUGGCAGCUAGCACAGGGUCCUUCUAAACGUGAGAUC
Cervus elaphus (red deer) is the source of this 502-nucleotide long non-coding RNA. RefSeq lists it as uncharacterized. The transcript is spliced from 3 exons. NCBI's taxonomy places the organism in Eukaryota, Metazoa, Chordata, Mammalia, Artiodactyla, Cervidae. The record is from RefSeq and is a predicted model, not a curated record.